UUGUAUUGGCCUCUCCAUUUCCCAUACUUCACCACACCAAACUGCCCUGUCCCCAGUUCCUUCAGGAAGGUCAGGUCCUUUGGGUCAAUCUCCCACGACCCUAGGACAGAGAGGGUGAGUGUGAUGAGGGUGCAGGUGCCCUUCCCGCAGGAUGCUCCCAGUCAUCUGGCCUGGCUGGUCCAAGAAGAGCUCACAAGCAUGUGCUGCCUGAAAGAACACGCUGAAAAGCCAUAAGCAUGCCUCAAAAACAUCACAGAAAAUUCAUGAAAUCCAAACCUAUUCUUCCAGAGGAUGGAGAGCAAAGUAGCUUGCAAAUCUCUUGAUAUGGGAUAUCGUAACCACGAGGCAGCGAGCCCCCGGAAACCCAGAGCUCUGAGUCACGCCGCACGCGCAGCUGGGUGCCCCAAAACUCACCGCUCUUCAGCUGAUGGAUCCAGCGUUUGCGCAGCUCCUCUGUCGGGGAGAAGACAUAGAGGGGCCCCUCAUCGUACACCACCUG
Long non-coding RNA from Numida meleagris (helmeted guineafowl), 499 nucleotides. RefSeq lists it as uncharacterized. The record is from RefSeq and is a predicted model, not a curated record. Lineage: Eukaryota; Metazoa; Chordata; Aves; Galliformes; Numididae. The transcript is spliced from 2 exons.